UACGUAGGUGGCAAGCGUUGUCCGGAAUUAUUGGGCGUAAAGCGCGCGCAGGCGGUCCUUUAAGUCUGAUGUGAAAGCCCACGGCUCAACCGUGGAAGGUCAUUGGAAACUGGAGGACUUGAGUACAGAAGAGGAAAGCGGAAUUCCACGUGUAGCGGUGAAAUGCGUAGAGAUGUGGAGGAACACCAGUGGCGAAGGCGGCUUUCUGGUCUGUAACUGACGCUGAGGCGCGAAAGCGUGGGGAGUAAACAGG
RNAcentral lists this ribosomal RNA (253 nucleotides) under uncultured bacterium. RNAcentral's name for it is "partial 16S ribosomal RNA". It matches the Rfam family "Bacterial small subunit ribosomal RNA", at positions 524 to 776 of the family's 1533-position model. The record is from RNAcentral.